UUGUCGUCAGCUCGUGUCGUGGGAUGUUGGUUAAGUCCGCAACGAGCGCAACCCUCGACCUUAGUUGCCAGCAUUCAGUUGGGCACUCUAAGGUGACUGCCGGCUAAAAGUCGGAGGAAGGUGGGGAUGACGUCAAAUCAUCAUGCCCCUUAUGACCUGGGCUACACACGUGCUACAAUGGGCGGUACAAAGGGUCGCGAACCCGCGAGGGGGAGCCAAUCCCAAAAAGCCGCUCUCAGUUCGGAUUGCAGGCUGCAACUCGCCUGCAUGAAGCCGGAAUCGCUAGUAAUCGCGGAUCAGCAUGCCGCGGUGAAUACGUUCCCGGGCCUU
This 330-nucleotide ribosomal RNA is filed under the name uncultured Anoxybacillus sp. RNAcentral's name for it is "bacterial SSU rRNA". It matches the Rfam family "Bacterial small subunit ribosomal RNA", at positions 1049 to 1382 of the family's 1533-position model. The record is from RNAcentral. Lineage: Bacteria; Bacillati; Bacillota; Bacilli; Caryophanales; Anoxybacillaceae.